This 489-nucleotide ribosomal RNA is filed under the name Bacillus thuringiensis. Its description in RNAcentral is "bacterial SSU rRNA". It matches the Rfam family "Bacterial small subunit ribosomal RNA", at positions 81 to 555 of the family's 1533-position model. Lineage: Bacteria; Bacillati; Bacillota; Bacilli; Caryophanales; Bacillaceae. The record is from RNAcentral.
CUCUUAUGAAGUUAGCGGCGGACGGGUGAGUAACACGUGGGUAACCUGCCCAUAAGACUGGGAUAACUCCGGGAAACCGGGGCUAAUACCGGAUAACAUUUUGAACCGCAUGGUUCGAAAUUGAAAGGCGGCUUCGGCUGUCACUUAUGGAUGGACCCGCGUCGCAUUAGCUAGUUGGUGAGGUAACGGCUCACCAAGGCAACGAUGCGUAGCCGACCUGAGAGGGUGAUCGGCCACACUGGGACUGAGACACGGCCCAGACUCCUACGGGAGGCAGCAGUAGGGAAUCUUCCGCAAUGGACGAAAGUCUGACGGAGCAACGCCGCGUGAGUGAUGAAGGCUUUCGGGUCGUAAAACUCUGUUGUUAGGGAAGAACAAGUGCUAGUUGAAUAAGCUGGCACCUUGACGGUACCUAACCAGAAAGCCACGGCUAACUACGUGCCAGCAGCCGCGGUAAUACGUAGGUGGCAAGCGUUAUCCGGAAUUAUU